AAACCAGCACCUCAAGUGGUCAGGAUUAUUAUUGGGCCUAAAGCAUCCGUAGCCUGUUCUGUAAGUUUCCGGUUAAAUCCAUUAGCUCAACUAAUGGGCCGCCGAAAAUACUGCAAAACUAGGGAGUGGGAGAGGUAGACGGUACUCGGUAGGAAGGGGUAAAAUCCUUUGAUCUUUCGAUGACCACCUGUGGCGAAGGCGGUCUACCAGAACACGUUCGACGGUGAGGGAUGAAAGCUGGGGGAGCAAACCGGAUUAGAAACCCGAGUAGUCC
This 274-nucleotide ribosomal RNA is filed under the name uncultured bacterium. RNAcentral's name for it is "partial 16S ribosomal RNA". It matches the Rfam family "Archaeal small subunit ribosomal RNA", at positions 473 to 747 of the family's 1478-position model. The record is from RNAcentral.